GAUGAACGCUGGCGGCGUGCCUAACACAUGCAAGUCGAACGGAACAUUCGUUUUCGGAUGAAUGUUUAGUGGCGAACGGGUGAGUAACGCGUGAGUAACCUGCCUUUCAGAGGGGGACAACAGCUGGAAACGGCUGCUAAUACCGCAUAAUAUAUUCGGAUGGCAUCGUCUGAAUAUCAAAGAUUUAUCACUAAAAGAUGGGUCUGCGUCUGAUUAGCUAGUUGGUGAGGUAAUGGCUCACCAAGGCGACGAUCAGUAGCCGGUCUGAGAGGAUGAACGGCCACACUGGGACUGAGACACGGCCCAGACUCCUACGGGAGGCAGCAGUGGGGAAUCUUCCGCAAUGGACGAAAGUCUGACGGAGCAACGCCGCGUGAGUGAAGAAGGUUUUCGGAUCGUAAAGCUCUGUCUUCAGGGACGAACGUGUAGAUUGUAAAUAAUGAUUUAUAAUGACGGUACCUGAGGAGGAAGCCACGGCUAACUACGUGCCAGCCGCCGCGGUAA
This 504-nucleotide ribosomal RNA is filed under the name uncultured bacterium. RNAcentral's name for it is "partial 16S ribosomal RNA". It matches the Rfam family "Bacterial small subunit ribosomal RNA", at positions 28 to 523 of the family's 1533-position model. The record is from RNAcentral.